AGUGAACGCUGGCGGUAGGCCUAACACAUGCAAGUCGAGCGGCAGCACAGUAAGAGCUUGCUCUUACGGGUGGCGAGUGGCGGACGGGUGAGGAAUACAUCGGAAUCUACUUUUUCGUGGGGGAUAACGUAGGGAAACUUACGCUAAUACCGCAUACGACCUACGGGUGAAAGCAGUGGAUCUUCGGACCUUGCGCGAUUGAAUGAGCCGAUGUCGGAUUAGCUAGUUGGCGGGGUAAAGGCCCACCAAGGCGACGAUCCGUAGCUGGUCUGAGAGGAUGAUCAGCCACACUGGAACUGAGACACGGUCCAGACUCCUACGGGAGGCAGCAGUGGGGAAUAUUGGACAAUGGGCGCAAGCCUGAUCCAGCCAUACCGCGUGGGUGAAGAAGGCCUUCGGGUUGUAAAGCCCUUUUGUUGGGAAAGAAAAGCAGCAGGUUAAUACCCCGCUGUUCUGACGGUACCCAAAGAAUAAGCACCGGCUAACUUCGUG
RNAcentral lists this ribosomal RNA (492 nucleotides) under uncultured bacterium. RNAcentral describes it as "partial 16S ribosomal RNA". It matches the Rfam family "Bacterial small subunit ribosomal RNA", at positions 29 to 507 of the family's 1533-position model. The record is from RNAcentral.